ACAUUUUUCUGUUUUUACACAGGAAGUUUUAACAUGAGAACAGUGAGAAACUUCUUCCACUAAGGCUUUCCUGCCUGAAGGAGGGACACAACAAUUUGAAGAUGCUCAGUGAGGAGGGGAAGAGAUCCAUUCAGGUGUUAGUUGUGAGCCUGGCAGAGGAAUUCCUAGACUAAACGUUACAACUUAAGGAUUUAGAGGUAUGUGCUCACUUUUAGAAUUUGAAUUAACUCUCUUUCUGUUCUUUCCAACAUUUUUAACAUCUUACUUCAGUUUCCUAGUAGAAUAUCCUGACUGACCAGCCACAAGACUGAGCAGAUGCAACAACCUUAUCCAUUCUUCCAGCAGUUAUGCCAAUGACGAGACAAAAGCAACAAAUUUUAGUAUAAAAAAACCAGUAAGGGUAUGUAAUUAUACAUAUCUACUACCCAGUGAUAAUAUCCCUUUUGCCUACUAGGAUGCUGGUUUGCAACAUUAAACAAAAAGUUUGCUUUUGACCUUUGUUGAUAAAUGGAUCAAAAGAGGAAUACAAAGUUAUUUAGAAUUGCAGAUGGAGAGAAACCUCCCCAGGGAAAACGUGUUCUGCCAGCAUCUUCUGCAAAAAGAGCUAUCACACUACAAAAAAGGACCUUCCAAAUGAAGGCAAGCAAUGAAGGAAGAAUUAAACUGUCCACCAAGUAGAAGAUAUUUGCUGAUCUGUGAGUCCAAGAACCUUGCCUUUACCUCCUGAAGAGCAUAUGGAAAGAAGCCGUAAUUCAUUCCCAGUCUUUAACUGUUGGUGGUAUCAUUGUUUUUCUUUCUGCAUCAUCUGUUUCAAAUCAUCUAUAACCUUAGGUUUUCUAGGAGGUCAAACAGAAACAGACCUUCACUUCUAAGAUGUAAACAUUUACAGUUUGGUCUUUACCACCCAAACCAACUGUAGCUUUGUUUUUAACUUGGAAAAACUACCUUCUUUGAUAGAAAGCUGCCAACUGCAUUUCUAGUAUCAGAGGUUAUAUUGGUUAUGGCUCAGUGGAAACUUGAAAUAAUCAUAUUUCAGUUUUUUAUUGUUUUGCCAGGCCUAUUAGAUGAUCACAUUUGGUUAAUUUAGACUAUGGUCAGAACUGGAAUAUGAAGCAACAAAUACAAACACCAAACCUCAGAAUUGAUUCUGUAUUUCCAGUCUAAGUGGUCUAAAGACUGAUAGUGUUUCAGCUUUUGCUAGUUAUUCUUCCACACCAAAUGAAAAAAAUAGAUUUGCCAUCUUCUAACUUCUAGACACAGCUGAAAGAAAUGAGAAAAAGCAAAUGUGUGGCUGCUAAGGACCAUUUUUCUCCAUUUGUUUUCAUGGGUCAAAAUCAUGAGUACUCUGCAAUUUACAGCUGAAUCAAGAGGAGAAAUCACAGGGAAGACACAUUCUGCUCUAAGUUGCAUCAAGAGCUGAAUGAGAAUUUAAACCAGUUCUCAAAAUAAGCACAGAGCUAAAAUCAGCAUAGUUUUGGUAUGAAAAAUAAAAGGGUAUUUCUUUGCUGCA
This 1510-nucleotide long non-coding RNA is filed under the name Cyanistes caeruleus (blue tit). RNAcentral's name for it is "lncRNA (ENSCCEG00000005662.1)". The record is from RNAcentral. Lineage: Eukaryota; Metazoa; Chordata; Aves; Passeriformes; Paridae.